This 600-nucleotide ribosomal RNA is filed under the name Providencia burhodogranariea. RNAcentral's name for it is "bacterial SSU rRNA". It matches the Rfam family "Bacterial small subunit ribosomal RNA", at positions 61 to 652 of the family's 1533-position model. Lineage: Bacteria; Pseudomonadati; Pseudomonadota; Gammaproteobacteria; Enterobacterales; Morganellaceae. The record is from RNAcentral.
GUCGAGCGGUAACAGGGGAAGCUUGCUUCUCGCUGACGAGCGGCGGACGGGUGAGUAAUGUAUGGGGAUCUGCCCGAUAGAGGGGGAUAACUACUGGAAACGGUAGCUAAUACCGCAUAAUCUCUAAGGAGCAAAGCAGGGGAACUUCGGUCCUUGCGCUAUCGGAUGAACCCAUAUGGGAUUAGCUAGUAGGUGAGGUAAUGGCUCACCUAGGCGACGAUCCCUAGCUGGUCUGAGAGGAUGAUCAGCCACACUGGGACUGAGCCACGUCCCAAAUUCAUACGGGAGGCAGCAGUGGGGAAUAUUGCACAAUGGGCGCAAGCCUGAUGCAGCCAUGCCGCGUGUAUGAAGAAGGCCCUAGGGUUGUAAAGUACUUUCAGUCGGGAGGAAGGCGUUGAUGCUAAUAUCAUCAACGAUUGACGUUACCGACAGAAGAAGCACCGGCUAACUCCGUGCCAGCAGCCGCGGUAAUACGGAGGGUGCAAGCGUUAAUCGGAAUUACUGGGCGUAAAGCGCACGCAGGCGGUUGAUUAAGUUAGAUGUGAAAUCCCCGGGCUUAACCUGGGAAUGGCAUCUAAAACUGGUCAGCUAGAGUCUUGU